This 206-nucleotide ribosomal RNA is filed under the name Streptomyces lincolnensis. RNAcentral's name for it is "partial 16S ribosomal RNA". It matches the Rfam family "Bacterial small subunit ribosomal RNA", at positions 308 to 526 of the family's 1533-position model. Lineage: Bacteria; Bacillati; Actinomycetota; Actinomycetes; Kitasatosporales; Streptomycetaceae. The record is from RNAcentral.
CCACACUGGGACUGAGACACGGCCCAGACUCCUACGGGAGGCAGCAGUGGGGAAUAUUGCACAAUGGGCGAAAGCCUGAUGCAGCGACGCCGCGUGAGGGAUGACGGCCUUCGGGUUGUAAACCUCUUUCAGCAGGGAAGAAGCGAAAGUGACGGUACCUGCAGAAGAAGCGCCGGCUAACUACGUGCCAGCAGCCGCGGUAAUAC